UUGAGUGGACAUUUUUUUCAACGAAGACAUACAAAUGGUCUGAAAGCAUAUGAAAAGGGACUUAAUAUCACUAAUCAUUACAGAAAUUCAAAUCAAAACCACAAUUACAUGUCACCUCGUACAUGCAAGGAUGGGUACUAUCGAAAGAUUAGUGUUAGGGUAUAGAGAAAAAGGAAGCUUUGUGUACUGUUGGUGGAAAUGUACAUUUGUACAGCCAUUGUGAUGUGGAGGUUCCUCAAAAAAAAAAAAAACCAUGUGAUCCAACAGUCUCACCCCUGGGUAUAUGCAUAUAUGCCCAAAGGCAGUGAUCAGUAUUUCAAAGAGAUUAUCUGCCACUCACAUGUUCAUUACAGCAUUAUUCACAAUAGUCAAAAUAUGGAAACUUAGCAGCCAUCAAUGAAUGAAUAAAGAAAAUGUGAUGUAUAUUUAAACAACAGAAUAUUACUCAGCCAUAAAAAGGAAAUCCUGACAUUUGUCACAACAUAAAUAAACGGGGUGGACACUAUAAGGCAGACAUAGGCAAAUACUUCAUGAACCCACUUAAUUGUGGAAUCUUAAAAACUCAAACUCAGAGGUAGAGGGAGGAACGGUGGUUACUAGAGUCCAGAAGGUAGGGAAAAUGGAGAAAUGUUGGUCAAAGGUUAAAAACCAAGCUGUAAGGUGAACAAGUUCUGAAGAUUUAAUGUACAGCAUGGGUCAUCAAUGUGUUAAUCUGACUGGUAACCAUUACAGAAUGUAUAUAUACAUCAAAACAUAACAUUGUACGUCAUGAACAUACAAUCUUUGUGAACUAUUUUAAAAUAAAAAAAGGGAUGUUUACUGAAUCUAUGCCUGUUGGAUCUUUGAGUUACUGAGAAGUAUUGAAGUCUUCAGUUAAUUGUGAAUUUGUCUGUCUCACCGUGCAGUUGUGUGUUCUUGCAUGACAUAUUUUGACAAUCUGUUAGGUGCAUAUAUUUUAAAUUAUGUCAUUUCUAUUAUUGGGUCUUAAUUUCUUUUCUUCUUGAAAUAUCUGGUUAUUCAAUCCAGUGUAUAUUUUAUACCAGGCAUUGUUGUUUUCCUUUCUAGUAGCUCAAAUUGUGUCUUUAGUUUUUAAUUUUGUUUUCAGACAGGGUCUCUCCCUGUCACCCAGGCUGGAGUUCAGUGGUGUUAUCUUGGGUCACUGAAACUGCUGCCUCCCAAGCAAAUGAUCCUCCCACCUCAGCCUCCUGACUAGCUGGGACCACAAGUGCACACUACCAUGCUCAGUUUUCCAUGGCCGUGAGACAAUGACACCGCUUCAGCGUGAACUCUCAUGAACUGAGUCUAGAUCCCCAGUGCUGUCCGUCUCACCUGUCCUCCUCUACACGUAUCUGGGAUAUGUCACGGCUUGGUGGUCUUUGAAGAUGUGGCUGUGAACUUCAUCCAGGAGGAGUGGGCUUUGCUGGAUUUUUCCAUGAAGAAUCUGUAGAGAUGUGAUGAGGGAAGCCAUCAGCACCUGUCUUCUAUAGCUGCAGUCCAAGAGGCCAACUGGAACAUCAACAUGAGACACUAAUCCAGCUGACUGGACACAAUGGGAAAAACUGGUUAUCUUACCAAGGCUUUGCCUGGAAUGGUGUGCCUUCCUUCAAGGAAUCAAAUUUAACUUAUGGAGCCAAUAAAGCCCUUGGAAAGCUGGCCUCAGAUUUUGUGUACACAGUCCCUGUACAGGGUUUCUGAUCUGUGGUAAGUAAAGAAUGUCACCUUUUGACAGGCCAGGAGUCCCAAGUUAUCUUGGAACCUCAAGAGGAGAGGAAUUCACCCAACUCAUAGGUAUUCAAUGGUACAAAUCCAUGGCUGGGCUUGCCUUUAAAAAGGUCUUAUCUCAGAUUCCUUCUACGAAACAAAGUUCCAUCAAAGCCAAUUUAAAGGGCCUAUGUAACAAAUAAUUAUUCUUGCUCCACUGUAUGCAAAUAACUAAGCCAAGUAUAAUAAAGAAACUCAGUCCUACUAGCAUGAUUUGUCUUUUAAUGAAAAUAGUAAACUUGAGAGAGAAAAUUAUGCUUCAAAAACGAUAGCACACCUGUUGUUAAAUUCUAGUGUUGCCCAAUGUUUUUCAAAUCUUGCUAUUUUCUGUUUAAAUUAAAUUCUAAUUUUUCUGGCUACAAGUUUCCAAAAUAGCUGUGCUUUCUAAAAGCCCUAUAAACUGAAAACUUGAUGUUUCAGCAGGUUCUGCCUCUAAGCCCCCUGACUCUCACAGGAGGAAAUAAAUAGCAAAUUUUAAGCUAAAAAUCAUAAAAAAAUAAGUAACCAAGUGAGAAUUACUCAUCCUAUUCAGUCUCACCCCUAUCUCAUCAAAUACUUUUAUCGUUCCUACCUCUGCUUUUAAGUCAAAUAUUAACUUUUUAAUGAAAAUUAUUUACUAUGCCACCCUUGUGGGAAUUGCUUUACUCACUCUACUAUUUGCAGUAGGACUAUAUACUGUAGCACCCUCAGGGUAAAAUAUCAGACAUAGAAUCUCAAUUACUAUAGCAUUUUGCUCAAUUAUUAUCCUCAUAGCAGGAAUAAUGGUUGCUAGCAGAAAAUAACACAUGGGCCUUUCCAAACCAGCACCUCUGCUCUCAUUAGGUAAGGAAUGUUGUUUCUAUAUCAGCCAAUCGGACCUAGUAAAAAGUGCUAUAAAAAAAAGUUACAGAAAAAGCUAAAAAAGCUAAGGAGUACCAAAACAAGCAAAUAGAUUCUUGGUUUGGGAACAAAAUCAUAGCAUGGGUCAUCCCAUUCCUGGGCCCUCUCCUAAUAAUAUGCCUAAUUAUGGGACUACUGUUCUUACCCUGCCUAAUUAACCUUUUUCAAAGACUUUUUAAACUGACAGGAUCAUGGCCAUUUCACAGACAACUACCCAAAAACAUCUACAGACAGCACUGCUCCUAUAGUCAACCCGAAACCAGGGAACUCUCCAUCCCCUCAUCAGCAGGAAGUAGCCAGAAAGAACAUGCCGCCCCUCAUCCUUUUUAUAACUAUAAGGUCUGGAUUGACGGCAGGAGCAUCACCAUCGUGGAUAAGCACCUCAUUUUAAAAUUCACCUUAAUCAAAAACUGCCUAAAUCCAAAGGGCAUCAGCCUAAUGGCUAAGGUCAGCAUGACCAUAAACCACACAUAACAUCUCCAACCAAAAACAUCCCAGACACCUCCCACAGAGACAUGCAACCUCGGGAUAACCCCUGUCUUGCUAGAAAGAUGUCACCCCCAAGAUAACUGCCUCUCUGCCCAGAACAUUCCAACCCCACCAUAAACCUCUCCCUCACACAGAAACAUUCUAAGCUUGUAAUAAGCUCCCUCACCCUAAAACCAAUAUAUGCUCUUAGUCUGCAAGGAAAAGUGCUCCUGACUGAAAUCAGCCAGAAGCCUCUCUCAGGUCUUUUCUAUAAUAAACCUGUCUUUGACUAUCAAGCAGUGUUUGGUG
Chlorocebus sabaeus (green monkey) is the source of this 3417-nucleotide non-coding RNA. NCBI's taxonomy places the organism in Eukaryota, Metazoa, Chordata, Mammalia, Primates, Cercopithecidae. The record is from RefSeq and is a predicted model, not a curated record.